Molecule: long non-coding RNA, 513 nt
Organism: Poecilia reticulata (guppy)
Lineage: Eukaryota; Metazoa; Chordata; Actinopteri; Cyprinodontiformes; Poeciliidae
Source: RefSeq, a predicted model, not a curated record
UCCUUGGGGGAAAGGAGAGCUGAUUAAAGGCAAUCGUUGAAACGCUUUGGACUAGUAAUCUACCUAAUCAAUGAUGGUGUGAGAGAGCACUCCACACACAUUGAUCAUUUGCUGUGCUCAUAGGAAACUGAAAUGUCACCCCAUGGCAAGUGAGAAUUUGACACAUGUGGCAGUAUAUCCUGUAGGCACCACACAAAUGCCUGGAUCUAAUUGUUUGUGGUGCUGGCUGUCUGUAUAUAAAGGGCCCUUCCUCACCUGGUUGACAUCACCUUGUUUUCCUUCUGGUGCAGACCUCAACAUUUGCUGGCACUGCAUGCUAGCCGCAUAUUAAUGCACGCUUGGAUGGUGCGCUUAACGACGCUCUGAUCGCGGAUCAAUCUUCCUCAGGCUGCCCGUACAAGCUGCCUGAUUACCCUUCCUGUCAGAGGCACUACUUAUAGAGCUCAGUGGUAAGUGAAAUGCUAAUAUUUUGCAUGCUUCCAGAUUACAUUUUUAACAUUUAUUUUUGAUAGA